CCUACGGGCGGCUGCAGUCGGGAAUAUUGCGCAAUGGAGGAAACUCUGACGCAGUGACGCCGCGUGCAGGAAGAAGGUUUUCGGAUUGGUAACUGCUUUAGACAGGGAAGAAAAAAGACAGUACCUGUCGAAUAAGCGCCGGCUAACUACGUGCCAGCAGCCGCGGUAAUACGUAGGGAGCAAGCGUUAUCCGGAUUUAUUGGGUGUAAAGGGUGCUUAGAGGGGUAAGUAAGUUAGUUGUGAAAUCGCUCGGCUUAACUGAGGAACUGCAACUAAAACUACUUGCCUUGAGUGCGGGAGAGGAAAGUGGAAUUCGUGGUGUAGCGGUGAAAUGCAUAGAUAUUAGGAAGAACCCCAGUUGCGAAGGCGGCUUUCUGGCCAGUAACUGACGUUGAGGCACGAAAGUGUGGGGAGCAAACAGGAUUAGAUACCCCUGUAGUC
Molecule: ribosomal RNA, 441 nt
Filed under: uncultured bacterium
Lineage: Bacteria
Description: partial 16S ribosomal RNA
Rfam family: Bacterial small subunit ribosomal RNA
Source: RNAcentral